RNAcentral lists this ribosomal RNA (530 nucleotides) under uncultured bacterium. RNAcentral describes it as "bacterial SSU rRNA". It matches the Rfam family "Bacterial small subunit ribosomal RNA", at positions 8 to 526 of the family's 1533-position model. The record is from RNAcentral.
AGGGUUUGAUCAUGGCUCAGAUUGAACGCUGGCGGCAGGCCUAACACAUGCAAGUCGAGCGGUAGCACAGGGGAGCUUGCUCCCCGGGUGACGAGCGGCGGACGGGUGAGUAAUGUCUGGGAAACUGCCUGAUGGAGGGGGAUAACUACUGGAAACGGUAGCUAAUACCGCAUAACGUCGCAAGACCAAAGAGGGGGACCUUCGGGCCUCUUGCCAUCAGAUGUGCCCAGAUGGGAUUAGCUAGUAGGUGGGGUAAUGGCUCACCUAGGCGACGAUCCCUAGCUGGUCUGAGAGGAUGACCAGCCACACUGGAACUGAGACACGGUCCAGACUCCUACGGGAGGCAGCAGUAGGGAAUCUUCGGCAAUGGGGGGAACCCUGACCGAGCAACGCCGCGUGAGUGAAGAAGGUUUUCGGAUCGUAAAGCCCUGUUGUAAGAGAAGAACGUGUGUGAGAGUGGAAAGUUCACACAGUGACGGUAACUUACCAGAAAGGGACGGCUAACUACGUGCCAGCCGCCGCGGUAAUAC